RNAcentral lists this unclassified non-coding RNA (820 nucleotides) under Hevea brasiliensis (rubber tree). The record is from RNAcentral. Lineage: Eukaryota; Viridiplantae; Streptophyta; Magnoliopsida; Malpighiales; Euphorbiaceae.
AGCAAAGAAAGAUAAGAAGAAAAAGAAGCAUAAAGCUGAAAGCAAUGAUGUGCAAAAUGAGAGUGAAAAUGUUAAUGCAGGAGAAAAAAAGAAAAAAAGAAGCGAAAACAUGCUGAACAAGAUGAAGAACCUGAAAUGCCAGGGAAGAAGAAAGAGAAAAGGAAGAGAAAAAGUGAGGAUUGAGAAAAUAUGGAAAGUACAGGUUACAGGCUACCCAGCAAUUUUGGAGAAGAAAUUAGGCAACAACUCCAUACUUUUCUGCUGUAUAAUUUUCGUUCAUUUUUGGUUUGUUAGCUUUAUUUCCAAUGGAUUUGCUGAUUUCCUGUGGGGGUGAUAAUGGAAUGUUCUGUUGGAAGUGAGCAUAUUUUGAAAAUUAUGUUUAGAAUUCACUUGCAUAUUAAUCUGUACUGUAAUCAAUUCAAAAGAUAAAUAGAUACAUAAAUAAAAGUUGAGAUUUUUUGGCAUUUGGUAAUCUGAUUCUAAAGUUAAUUUAUAGAAUGAUUAUGUAUGCUGAGACGGGUAUAAUUUGUUUCAGUUAAAAAGAAAAAUGAAAAAAACUAAGAAAAGGCUUCUAAGGGAGCCUGAUUGAAAGAAGCAAAGAAAAAUUUAUGGAACUGAACCAUAUGCUCUUGUGAAAAAUAGAAGCUUGUAACAUAAAUUUCAUCUGUCAACAAAUUAAUAUAAAUCAGUGCCUGUGGUCAGGAAUGGACAUCUUCUCAUGUCAGUUCUUUUAUUUGCUAGGGUCUGUCCUGGCCAUGGUCAUGGAUUGAUUCCAAAUCUGAAUCAGCGGUGUUUGUUUAUGAAAAAAAUUGGAUUUCAG